Setaria italica (foxtail millet) is the source of this 1199-nucleotide long non-coding RNA. RefSeq lists it as uncharacterized. The record is from RefSeq and is a predicted model, not a curated record. NCBI's taxonomy places the organism in Eukaryota, Viridiplantae, Streptophyta, Magnoliopsida, Poales, Poaceae. The transcript has 2 exons.
AUUUCUGCAUGGACUAAUAAUUCCCCAGCUUUGACAGUAGAUAUCCGAGUAAGGAGAGUGAUGGGAGUGCGGAUGAUGCCUGGGCUAUACUGUUGGCUUGUAGAUACCAAGGUGGCACAGACAAUCCAACGCCGUGAAGCCACGUCGGAUCACGAGGUGCACGUCUCGGAAAAACUGGAAAGGAGCCGGCCGGCGGCAUCUAUGCUCUCCCAGCUUUCCAACGAGAUCUGUCGAUCGGCUGCUCGUGCAAAGCCACACCCCAGUGACCACAGUUGAAAGCCAUCAUGUCAUCAUCGUCGUCUUUCCCCCAUCCGCACAGAUACUGUAAGAUCUUUUCCACAGCCGGCCGGCCGGCGACCAUUCCUCCGGCGAUUAACCGCGACCUCCAUGUCUCUCCCUACUCUGUGAAGAGAGCUCAAGGCUUCGAUCUCGACCGCGUGCUAUAUAUCUGCGACGUGGCAACACGGACGCCGAGGAAAGAGACGGAGCAGCGCCUGACGACAAUGGCUAUAAAUAGCCUACUACCUGCUCCCCAAACCCUCCAGCAACCUGGCAAGCUUGCUUUCACACCAGCCAGCUCCACACUCACUGACUCACUCUCCUCGUUACUAAUACUACUCCUGCUUGCUCGAGGCCGAGGUAGGUGGUGCGGCAUGGCCAGGUCUGAUCAAUACGAUCCCUUUGUAUGGGCGCUGCCCAUGGUGGAGGGCAGCAGCAACCUCAGGGGCUGCGGCGGCGCCACCGGCGACGACGACGACGACGACUUCGACGUGGCUCCGGCUGCAUAACAACUGACGGAUCUCUGCAGUGUAUGCAUGUGUUCUCGGCCAUGCUGAUCUAUGAGCUGAGAGAUCGUAUAUAGCGAUGAGCUAGUACGUUUGCUGAGGUUUCCGAUCGAGGUGCUGUAUAUUUCAUGCCUCCGAGCUAGAAAUAAUUUCGCUCCCCUAAUAGCUUGCUUAGCUAGCUCUAGUAGUUAUUACUAACAAUAAAGAAGCAUCCAUGCAUGGCCAUGUGUGUAUAUAUGGAGCGCAGAGACCUAAUGUGGGGGUUCUACUGAUAGUUUUGGUCGAAAAUAAGGGUAAUUGCUGUCCAGGGCUUCAUGAUUAAUGGAUGCUCGUGCAUCUUUGUUGGUGCACGAGGUCAGGAGUUGUACUUCCAUUAUGUUAAAGAGGCAUUAUUCAUGCAUGAUUGAUCUUGAA